ACCUUUUGGCAUUUUAUUUGAUUUCAAAAUUUCUAAUUUUGUUUCUAUAAUGGCAUCUCCAUGGACACCAAGGCAAAACAUGCAACUCGAACAGGCAUUAUGAUACCCUUGUGAGGGAGAUCAUACAAAUAGAAAGAGGGCUUCUAAUAAUCUAAAGAUACAAUGAAGCUAUGGGCAACUACAACAACAGUUACAAGGUUCAUGAAGGAAUAGCAAAAGGGAUAUAGGAAGAAAAUAAGAGGUGGACUAUAUAUAUGUGCAAUGUGCUUGUGUGCAUUAUUACAAUGUUUUUUUUUUUUUUUUUUUUCUGAUUUAGUUAUGUUUAAAUUUGUAAAAAACGAGUUGACGCCACCUCGCGCGUUGCGGCGAGAUGUUGAUUAUGAAUAUUUUAAGUAUCUUUAUGUAAAUACGAAAAUCCGAUUCAAAUUUGACACUU
Molecule: long non-coding RNA, 436 nt
Organism: Helianthus annuus (common sunflower)
Lineage: Eukaryota; Viridiplantae; Streptophyta; Magnoliopsida; Asterales; Asteraceae
Exons: 2
Source: RefSeq, a predicted model, not a curated record